AUGGAUACCACAGUAGCAGAUCCAAUACCUCAUGGCAAUGAAACUGUUCAGAAUGAGUCAAAGUUGCAAGAAGAGGUUUAUGAGGAACCUACUCUGAUUGACGCUAAGUUGAGACAACAAGAUAUGGAGAAAUUCACUUGUGUUAGUCAGCUAUCUGACUGGCGGAAUUUAGUCGUGUCACCAAUUGCCCACACUUGUGUUACAACUGUAUCUGGACUAUUUGUGAAGAAGAAAUCAUUAGCUCCACCAGUGGUUACCUCUAUCACAGUUAAAGAGAGUAUUUCAGAGAAGAAUAGUGAAGAUGAGAUUCCAACUCGUGCACAUACAAUUAAGCAAGUCGGAGACAUUUCAAGGAGAGAGAUACAAGAGGUUGAGUUAAAUUUAGAAGAGUUGAUACUUCAAUAUCCUGAGAAGAUCCCAUGUGUUGCUGAGCUGCAUGACUGGUGGAAGUCAUCGGUGUCACUGUUGAAACUUAGCAAUGAUGGUGAUGAGGAGAACAUUGCUCAGGAAGACAGCGAGGUAGUGAUCUCAGCACCCCUACCAGAUCAUGUUAGUGAAUAUUCACAGAUGGGGACACUUCAGACUCAAUUAAGUGUUGCUGGUAGUAGCACCAUAGAAGAUCCAGAGGAAGAGAGACCUCAGAUUGAAGAUGUACUCGAAGCUAAUGCAGAAGACGAUCCAGAGAUCGAACAACCAAGUAAUCAAGUUGAAUACUCUUCAUCUACUACUCUUGAAGAAGCAAAAGAAGCUGCUGUAGAUGAACUUGAAGAACCAGAAAUUCAUUUGCCUAUUGUCACAUAA
This 801-nucleotide ribosomal RNA is filed under the name Triticum aestivum (bread wheat). Its description in RNAcentral is "partial small subunit ribosomal RNA". Lineage: Eukaryota; Viridiplantae; Streptophyta; Magnoliopsida; Poales; Poaceae. The record is from RNAcentral.